RNAcentral lists this unclassified non-coding RNA (221 nucleotides) under Hevea brasiliensis (rubber tree). Lineage: Eukaryota; Viridiplantae; Streptophyta; Magnoliopsida; Malpighiales; Euphorbiaceae. The record is from RNAcentral.
AGGCUUGCACGACGAGUAAGUACUCGGAAACUCCCCUGAGAAACUGUUCUCAAUAGCUAGCAAAAACUGCAGGUUCCCAUUUUGGCACAAGUACUUUGGGAAUCCACCAGUAAACUUGUUUUCAGAUAUGUCUAUGCUAUUCAGGGGCGAAAACCGACCAAGAUUUGCUGGAAAUGCCCCAGAAAAAUUGUUCCUGUACACGGAAAAGCCAUUAAGAUGCU